CACGUGGAAGUAACGGCUCUCAUACGAUCACUGCAGUUAAGCAACGUCGAGCCUGGAAGUACCUAGAUGGGUGACCAUUUGAGAAUACCAG
Non-coding RNA from Acanthosepion pharaonis, 91 nucleotides. NCBI's taxonomy places the organism in Eukaryota, Metazoa, Mollusca, Cephalopoda, Sepiida, Sepiidae. The record is from the annotation of a GenBank genome assembly.